This 466-nucleotide ribosomal RNA is filed under the name uncultured bacterium. Its description in RNAcentral is "partial 16S ribosomal RNA". It matches the Rfam family "Bacterial small subunit ribosomal RNA", at positions 28 to 507 of the family's 1533-position model. The record is from RNAcentral.
GAUGAACGCUGGCGGCGUGCUUAACACAUGCAAGUCGAACGGAAAGGCCACAGCUUGCUGUGGUACUCGAGUGGCGAACGGGUGAGUAACACGUGGGUGAUCUGCCCUGUACUUCGGGAUAAGCUUGGGAAACUGGGUCUAAUACCGGAUAGGAAUCACAUGUGGGUGUGUGGUUGGAAAGCUUUUGCGGUAUGGGAUGAGCUCGCGGCCUAUCAGCUUGUUGGUGGGGUAAUGGCCUACCAAGGCGUCGACGGGUAGCCGGCCUGAGAGGGUGUACGGCCACAUUGGGACUGAGAUACGGCCCAGACUCCUACGGGAGGCAGCAGUGGGGAAUAUUGCACAGUGGGCGCGAGCCUGAUGCAGCGACGCCGCGUGGGGGAUGACGGCCUUCGGGUUGUAAACUCCUGUCGUCAGGGACGAAGCGAAAGUGACGGUACCUGGAUAAGAAGCACCGGCUAACUACGUG